Molecule: ribosomal RNA, 468 nt
Filed under: uncultured bacterium
Lineage: Bacteria
Description: partial 16S ribosomal RNA
Rfam family: Bacterial small subunit ribosomal RNA
Source: RNAcentral
GACGAACGCUGGCGGCGUGCUUAACACAUGCAAGUCGAACGGAAAGGCCCUGCUUUUGUGGGGUGCUCGAGUGGCGAACGGGUGAGUAACACGUGAGUAACCUGCCCUUGACUUUGGGAUAACUUCAGGAAACUGGGGCUAAUACCGGAUAGGAGCUCCUGCUGCAUGGUGGGGGUUGGAAAGUUUCGGCGGUUGGGGAUGGACUCGCGGCUUAUCAGCUUGUUGGGGGGGUAGUGGCUUACCAAGGCUUUGACGGGUAGCCGGCCUGAGAGGGUGACCGGCCACAUUGGGACUGAGAUACGGCCCAGACUCCUACGGGAGGCAGCAGUGGGGAAUAUUGCACAAUGGGCGGAAGCCUGAUGCAGCAACGCCGCGUGCGGGAUGACGGCCUUCGGGUUGUAAACCGCUGUCGCCUGUGACGAAGCGUGAGUGACGGUAAUGGGUAAAGAAGCACCGGCUAACUACGUG